UCGUGCUAGGCGGGGAGCUCGGGGUCCCCUGCACCGGAAACCCUCGACACGCCGGGCUGAUUACCCGUCUGCGGCCACUGAUUGACCGGGUCCAGCCCCCGGCAAGCAGCGUUGAUGGUCGGGUCCUGCGCGACUCGGAGCCGUGAACCCGGUCAGGCCCGGAAGGGAGCAGCCGUAAGCGGUGGACCGAGAGUGCCGCAGGGCACCCCGGCCGGAGCCGGCUACCGGAACGGCGCCGGCCGCUCAGCGGUCCAGGACGGGGCGCACGA
RNAcentral lists this signal recognition particle RNA (269 nucleotides) under Actinomycetota bacterium. Its description in RNAcentral is "signal recognition particle sRNA large type". It matches the Rfam family "Bacterial large signal recognition particle RNA". From Rfam's summary of the family: The signal recognition particle (SRP) is a universally conserved ribonucleoprotein involved in the co-translational targeting of proteins to membranes. The record is from RNAcentral. Lineage: Bacteria; Bacillati; Actinomycetota.